Molecule: transfer RNA, 72 nt
Filed under: Ailuropoda melanoleuca (giant panda)
Lineage: Eukaryota; Metazoa; Chordata; Mammalia; Carnivora; Ursidae
Rfam family: tRNA
About the family: Transfer RNA (tRNA) molecules are approximately 80 nucleotides in length. Their secondary structure includes four short double-helical elements and three loops (D, anti-codon, and T loops).
Source: Rfam by way of RNAcentral
ACCUGGCUGGCUCAGUUGGUAAAGCAUUCGACUCUGAUCUCAGGGUCAUGAGUUCAAGCCUCAUGCUGGGCA